RNAcentral lists this transfer RNA (87 nucleotides) under Candidatus Blackburnbacteria bacterium RIFCSPHIGHO2_01_FULL_40_17. RNAcentral's name for it is "tRNA-Ser". It matches the Rfam family "tRNA". Rfam says of the family: Transfer RNA (tRNA) molecules are approximately 80 nucleotides in length. Their secondary structure includes four short double-helical elements and three loops (D, anti-codon, and T loops). Further hydrogen bonds mediate the characteristic L-shaped molecular structure. tRNAs have two regions of fundamental functional importance: the anti-codon, which is responsible for specific mRNA codon recognition, and the 3' end, to which the tRNAs corresponding amino acid is attached (by aminoacyl-tRNA synthetases). tRNAs cope with the degeneracy of the genetic code in two manners: having more than one tRNA (with a specific anti-codon) for a particular amino acid; and 'wobble' base-pairing, i.e. permitting non-standard base-pairing at the 3rd anti-codon position. RNAcentral also lists the same sequence under 2 other names. Lineage: Bacteria; Candidatus Blackburniibacteriota. The record is from RNAcentral.
GGUGGGGUGCCGGAGUGGCCGAACGGGAUGGUCUCGAAAACCAUAGGCCAGUGGCCUACGCGAGUUCGAAUCUCGCCCCCACCGCCA